Molecule: ribosomal RNA, 848 nt
Filed under: uncultured bacterium
Lineage: Bacteria
Description: bacterial SSU rRNA
Rfam family: Bacterial small subunit ribosomal RNA
Source: RNAcentral
UGGCGGAAUGCUUUACACAUGCAAGUCGAACGGCAGCACGGACUUCGGUCUGGUGGCGAGUGGCGAACGGGUGAGUAAUAUAUCGGAACGUAUCCAAUAAUGGGGGAUAACUAAUCGAAAGGUUGGCUAAUACCGCAUACGCCCUACGGGGGAAAGCUAGGGAUCUUCGGACCUGGCGUUAAUGGAGCGGCCGAUAUCUGAUUAGCUAGUUGGUGGGGUAAAGGCCCACCAAGGCGACGAUCAGUAGCUGGUCUGAGAGGACGACCAGCCACACUGGAACUGAGACACGGUCCAGACUCCUACGGGAGGCAGCAGUGGGGAAUUUUGGACAAUGGGCGCAAGCCUGAUCCAGCCAUUCCGCGUGAGUGAAGAAGGCCUUCGGGUUGUAAAGCUCUUUCGCAAGGGAAGAAAACUUAUCCUCUAACAUAGGAUGAGGUUGACGGUACCUUGAUAAGAAGCACCGGCUAACUACGUGCCAGCAGCCGCGGUAAUACGUAGGGUGCGAGCGUUAAUCGGAAUUACUGGGCGUAAAGCGUGCGCAGGCUGUUUUGUAAGUCAGAUGUGAAAUCCCUGAGCUCAACUUAGGAACUGCGUUUGAAACUACAAGACUAGAAUAUGUCAGAGGGGGGUAGAAUUCCACGUGUAGCAGUGAAAUGCGUAGAGAUGUGGAGGAAUACCAAUGGCGAAGGCAGCCCCCUGGGAUAAUAUUGACGCUCAUGCACGAAAGCGUGGGGAGCAAACAGGAUUAGAUACCCUGGGAGUCCACGCCCUAAACGAUGUCUACUAGUUGUUGGUGGAGUAAAAUCCAUGAGUAACGCAGCUAACGCGUGAAGUAGACCGCCUGGGGA